Molecule: long non-coding RNA, 1636 nt
Organism: Cucurbita maxima (winter squash)
Lineage: Eukaryota; Viridiplantae; Streptophyta; Magnoliopsida; Cucurbitales; Cucurbitaceae
Exons: 2
Source: RefSeq, a predicted model, not a curated record
CGAACAAUAUCUAUUAGUGGUGGAUUUCUUUUUGCCUUUAACAAGCAAACACGAUGUAUUUUUUUAUUAUUAUUAUACAUCAUUAUAUUAUAUUUAGGGUGGCUAGGAUGUUUUAACAUGACACUUUUUGAUUCAUUUUGGAUCAAUUAGGUGGCUACAGAUCUAUAGUAUUUGAUAAUAUUUUGCCCAGUUGGAUGUUAGUGGGUUGUAGUACUAGGUUUUCUUUUUCCUUUUCUUGGAUUUUUUAGAUUGGUUUAGCCUAAAUUUGAUUCUUUUAGCCGAGACAUACUUAUUUUCAAAUGCCUCAUGAAGUUAUAGCCGAGAGAUAACUACCUCCUUUAUGAGCAACUUUGGUGCAAUGAGGCAUUUAAGGAAGAGCAAUUGAGUAAAUGCUAGUUUGGAGUUUAGUGAUUCAAAUCUGUGCUCGAUAUUCUCAAACAUUGGUACAUUCGUAGAUGGGGAGAAGGGUUUUAUGAAGAAGAAUAACAAAUAAAUUUGGUCCACAGUCAAAUGUGAAAUCUCAAUGGUCCAAUCCAUCAGCUAUUAUUGCUUGCUUAGUUGCAAGAUGAGAUGAGGUAGUCGCUGCAUGGCCAUCAGCGCAGCGUUGAAAUGUAAAAUCAAUGGGCAGUGAAGAUUGAAGAAGAGUGAAACAAAUGCAAAGUGGAGAGUAGGGGAGUAAAUGCGGUCCCUUUGCAGCAGCCAGGCUAGGGAUGGACAGCCUAAAGUUGUAUAGUGGAAGAAUAGGGCGUCCUUUGGAUGUGAUGUGGAUACUACUGUAUUGUUCCUUUCACUGUCUGCUACACUCUGUCCUCUUACUCAGAACUUCUCUGCUUUCUCUCAUCUCUUGUUCUUGUCGGAUAACUUAUGGCUCACCCACCCUUUCCUACCCAAAUUUAUGCUAUCUCUCUCUCCUUUGCACUUGCCUCUAUUAAAUGUUCAUCUCUCUCUCUCUCUCUUAGUUACUUGUGGAGUGGUGUUGUGUGUUGGGUGGAAGUGGAUCAAAGUAACAGAAAAAUCUGGCAACUGGGUCUUUAUUGCAUGUGAUUUUUACUCCUUUGCUGCAAUGGAUCCAUGAGUUUUGGGCAUCAAUGACUUGAUGACUACCAUGAAUUUGCCUACUGUUUGGGCCACCUCAUUACUUAUUGUGCUUCUUCAUCUUCUUCUUUUUCUCUCCGCCUCUUCCCCUUCCAGGGGUAUAUUUUUCGAAGACAAAACCAGGCUUGGAUCCACCCCACCAAGCUGCCACAACAAGUGCAACGAGUGUCAUCCAUGCAUGGCGGUGCAAGUUCCUAGUAUGCCUCGGAUGGAUUCGCAUUCGCCCUCGGCCUUGCCAUUGGGAUUUUUUGACUCAUCCACACAAGGGAACAGAUACUCAUUUUACAAGCCAUUGGGUUGGAAAUGCCGCUGUGGGAACCACUUCUUCAAUCCUUGAGCCAUAUUUGCAUGUCCAAAACACAGGGUUGGCCUCCCAUUCUUCUGGUUUUUGUAAAUGACAUUGAAUUUGUUUCUUUUUUUCAUUAUAAGGAUGGAAUUCUUUGUUCAGAGUGAAAGCAGGUCGUUUGGUUUAUGCAUUUAUUGUACAUAAACCUUCUACCCUUAACCCCCCCUAAGUUCUUCUAGUUCUUACUUGGUUCCA